This 301-nucleotide ribosomal RNA is filed under the name uncultured bacterium. RNAcentral describes it as "partial 16S ribosomal RNA". It matches the Rfam family "Bacterial small subunit ribosomal RNA", at positions 509 to 807 of the family's 1533-position model. The record is from RNAcentral.
CAGCCGCCGCGGUAAUACGAAGGGUGCAAGCGUUAAUCGGAAUUACUGGGCGUAAAGCGUGCGUAGGCGGUUUGUUAAGUCUGCUGUGAAAUCCCCGGGCUCAACCUGGGAAUGGCAGUGGAUACUGGCAAGCUAGAGUGUGUCAGAGGAUGGUGGAAUUCCCGGUGUAGCGGUGAAAUGCGUAGAGAUCGGGAGGAACAUCAGUGGCGAAGGCGGCCAUCUGGGACAACACUGACGCUGAGGCACGAAAACGUGGGGAGCAAACAGGAUUAGAUACCCCAGUAGUCCCUGUCUCUUAUAC